RNAcentral lists this long non-coding RNA (677 nucleotides) under Rattus norvegicus (Norway rat). RNAcentral's name for it is "long non-coding RNA NONRATT028181". Lineage: Eukaryota; Metazoa; Chordata; Mammalia; Rodentia; Muridae. The record is from RNAcentral.
GCCAGAAGUAUGUACGGAAAGCUUGGGAGAAGGCAGACAUCAAUACAAAGUGGGCCGCCACACGAUGGGCCAAGAAAAUUGAUGCCAGAGAAAGGAAAGCCAAGAUGACAGAUUUUGAUCGGUUCAAAGUCAUGAAGGCAAAGAAAAUGGUAAGUUUUCAGAUGUAUGUUUGUAUUUGAUGCAGGGUAAAAGGGCAUGGUAGCCAGCCCCUUUCAUGGUGGUGUAGGUGAUAGGUGUUUAAAAUUCCUGUUAGGUGAGGCCAGCAAGACAGCUGGGGUACCUGGUAUAUUUUGUGUGAUCCUGUAGCAAAUGCUCUCCUGUGUUCUUUUUUUCAGAGGAACAGAAUAAUCAAGACUGAAGUGAAGAAACUCCAGAGAGCUGCUCUCCUGAAAGCUUCUCCUAAAAAAGCUGCUGUUGCUAAGGCUGCCAUUGCGGCCGCUGCAGCAGCUAAAGCCAAGGUCCCAGCCAAGAAGGCAACAGGACCAGGCCAGAAGGCCGCAGGCCAGAAGGCCGCAGGCCAGAAGGCCUCUGCACAGAAGGCUGCAGGCCAGAAGGCAGCGCCCCCUGCUAAAGGUCAGAAGGGUCAGAAGACCCCGGCCCAGAAGGCACCUGCUCCAAAGGCAGCUGGCAAGAAAGCAUGAGGAGGCUACACAAAGAAUAAAGGUUCUUUUUGACUG